GGUGUGCGCGCGGCCGGAGUCUGUGGAGCUGGAAAUUCACCGGUCCAGGAAGACGUCUUUCCCGCGUCCCAGCACCGGUCCAGAAAGACGUCUUUCCCGCGUCCCAGCACCUCGGGCCACGCUCCUUCGUGAGAGCGCCCUCUCCAAGGAGGCCGGCCCUGGAUAUUUCACCCAAAAUAUUUAUUUUUUCUUUUUUUCUAGACCGUUAGGUUCCGUGGUACCCUGGAGUCCACAGCUGCUGAAUCUGAAGGGCCAUCAGAAGACUGGCUUCUCCAUGAUGGUUUAUGGACUAAGGCAAAGAUGAGCAGAGCCAUGGCCCUCUUCUUUGUUCUCUGCUGGAUCCAAGAGUCGGGGGUCUCCCUAUGUUUCCCAGGCUGGCCUCGAACUCCUGACCUCAAGUGAUCCUCCCACCUCAGCCUCCCCGAGUGCUGGGAUUAAAGACGUGAGCCACGGCACCUGGCCUGAAUUUUCCUCAAAUUCAAAAAAUCCUGAUGAAGGUUUGGCUAAAAUCUUUGGUGAGUUACCCCACUCCCUGUGGAACCUCAGGCUGGAUUUGAAGAGUUGCGUGCAUGGUCCUCAUUGUCUCCCAGGUAACCUGUUCCCGCUGCUGUGAAGGGAAGGCAGGUGCUCUUCCUUGAGGCUAGAAUCUGUCUACGUGUCACAGUCUCAGGAAAUUAAGCAAAACAGAUGAUAAACACCUCAAAAGGACCCUACUGAGCAUC
Molecule: small RNA, 722 nt
Filed under: Homo sapiens (human)
Lineage: Eukaryota; Metazoa; Chordata; Mammalia; Primates; Hominidae
Description: chromosome 2 open reading frame 92 (ENSG00000291598.1)
Source: RNAcentral